RNAcentral lists this ribosomal RNA (484 nucleotides) under uncultured bacterium. RNAcentral's name for it is "bacterial SSU rRNA". It matches the Rfam family "Bacterial small subunit ribosomal RNA", at positions 327 to 804 of the family's 1533-position model. The record is from RNAcentral.
CGCCUUAUACUCCUACGGGAGGCAGCAGUGGGAAUUUUGGACAAUGGGGGCAACCCUGAUCCAGCAAUGCCGCGUGAGUGAAGAAGGCCUUCGGGUUGUAAAGCUCUUUUGUCAGGGAAGAAACGGUAGUAGCUAAUAUCUAUUACUAAUGACGGUACCUGAAGAAUAAGCACCGGCUAACUACGUGCCAGCAGCCGCGGUAAUACGUAGGGUGCAAGCGUUAAUCGGAAUUACUGGGCGUAAAGCGUGCGCAGGCGGUUGUGUAAGUCCGAUGUGAAAUCCCCGGGCUCAACCUGGGAAUUGCAUUUGAGACUGCACGGCUAGAGUGUGUCAGAGGGGGGUAGAAUUCCACGUGUAGCAAUGAAAUGCGUGGAUAUGUGGAGGAAUACCGAUGGCGAAGGCAGCCCCCCGGGAUAACACUGACGCUCAUGCACGAAAGCGUGGGGAGCAAACAGGAUUAGAUACCCCAGUAGUCCACGUACCA